CCUCCCUCUCUUUCUCUAACCGAAUUUGCAGCACAAAUGUCCCCGGCCACUCUAAAUCCUCACCAACAUUAAUCUUCCUCUUCAGAGAGACAUCUCUCAGCUCCCAAAUUUCUAGGGUUUCUUCUCUGCACGCCUCCCAAUGCGGACGCAUACGUAAUCUAGCUAUCUACGUACACUGCAACGUACCUAGCUUAUAUAUUCAAUCAGGCUUUAUCAGUUUUGAAAUUGCAGAAGGGCAAUCAAAUGCUUGAAGAUUACCCCAGAUCUUUCAGAUAAGCAGCUGCAGUUUUCCAGCAUGCUCAAGUAUAUGACUCUGACAAGAAAAUUGUCAAGCAUAUGAGACCCAUACCACAAGAGCUUGUGGAGUCCCUUGAUGGAGAACUUGAUUUCCUUGGAUCGUAUUUUUUUGUUAUUUAUUUCUUGUUGUUGACAGGUUAAAUUUAUACUUACCUAUAAGGUUUGCCUAUUUCAUAUCACAUUUAUUUUCCUUGACCAUAAAUUGAACUAGAGAAAUCCCUUCAUCAAUAGGCAUUGCAAUUGUUGAAAGAAAAUUGGACCCCAUAAGUAUGGAGGUCUUUGAUCAUUUCCCUAGUUCCAUUUCUAGACAUCGGUCAGAUCCCAUUAAGAGCCAAAUUACUCAUCACUUUCAGAGAUCUAAGACUGCUACUGUAUCUACACAAGUCAGUAGCUUUGUGACCUUUUCCUAUAAAACCAGAAAACAAGAUAGUACUACGCCUAACUUGGUCUUCUUUGCAGAAAUUUUGUCUUCCUUCCUUUAAUUAUUACCUUGAAAAUUCAUGGUACUAGAAUGCUAAAUAUUUUCUUAUCUUGUGGAUUUAUCUCAUAGGAAUUUAGGAUGGAACUGAUGAAUUAAAUACUUAUCUACACAAGUAUCGCACAGAGUUAGAUCAACAUCUUGGUGCUCUUGUGGGGAGCCAUGGCAAUAAGACCAGCUACUGAACUACUUCUCACACUUGCUAAAUAUAAAUACAUGAGUACCCCAAGUAUGCUUGGUCAUGUUAUAUUAGUUCAUUUUUGCAAGAUUGGCAUCUUAAUUGACGAGAGAGUUGGCUAAUGAGAUAUAUAAGGAAGCUAAGAAGUUUGCUUAUUAGAAUGGAGCAAAGGUGGCUGUUGUUUAUGGUGGAACGCCAAUGGGUCAGCAAGUUUGUGUCUCUGCAGGCUUACUGGCCAUUCCGUUUUCUAUGACCACUUCUAUGAUUCGGGUGAUUCCAUUCAUGAUCAGAUUGUGAAACUGGUACAGCAGUACACCUAGCUAGUUCCUUUAUUAACUUGUGUCUUGUAGAAAUUUUUCAUUCAUUAAGCAUUUGAACUUGUCUGCAGAUUAGUAGAUAUGAGUUAUUUUGAACUGAUGUUCAUGAUUAGGUUUGUGUACAUGAGACAAUGGUGGAUUAAUGGAAAUUGCAAUGAAUGAUUUUGGA
This is a long non-coding RNA of Rosa chinensis, 1439 nucleotides long. RefSeq lists it as uncharacterized. NCBI's taxonomy places the organism in Eukaryota, Viridiplantae, Streptophyta, Magnoliopsida, Rosales, Rosaceae. The transcript is spliced from 5 exons. The record is from RefSeq and is a predicted model, not a curated record.